UAGGGAAUCUUCGGCAAUGGGGGGAACCCUGACCGAGCAACGCCGCGUGAGUGAAGAAGGUUUUCGGAUCGUAAAGCUCUGUUGUUAAGGAAGAACGAGUGUGAGAAUGGAAAGUUCAUGCUGUGACGGUACUUAACCAGAAAGGAACGGCUAACUACGUGCCAGCAGCCGCGGUAAUACGUAGGUCCCGAGCGUUGUCCGGAUUUAUUGGGCGUAAAGCGAGCGCAGGCGGUUAGAUAAGUCUGAAGUUAAAGGCAGUGGCUCAACCAUUGUAGGCUUUGGAAACUGUUUAACUUGAGUGCAGAAGGGGAGAGUGGAAUUCCAUGUGUAGCGGUGAAAUGCGUAGAUAUAUGGAGGAACACCGGUGGCGAAAGCGGCUCUCUGGUCUGUAACUGACGCUGAGGCUCGAAAGCGUGGGGAGCGAACAGG
RNAcentral lists this ribosomal RNA (429 nucleotides) under Bacteroidota bacterium. RNAcentral describes it as "Bacteroidetes bacterium partial 16S ribosomal RNA". It matches the Rfam family "Bacterial small subunit ribosomal RNA", at positions 355 to 776 of the family's 1533-position model. Lineage: Bacteria; Pseudomonadati; Bacteroidota. The record is from RNAcentral.